RNAcentral lists this unclassified non-coding RNA (220 nucleotides) under uncultured fungus. Its description in RNAcentral is "sequence contains ITS2". The record is from RNAcentral. Lineage: Eukaryota; Fungi.
ACACCUCACUACUAUAACUUUUUUUGUUAUAAUAGUGGACUUGGAAUGCGCUGGUGUCAAUCAGCCCUUCUAAAAUGGAGUUCUUGCACUGUUGAUUUGUUUUAACAGCAUGUUGGCCUAAUAAGUUUCGGCAGUAAUGUUGAAAUCACUGGCUUUUUUUGCUUAGAAUCUGACAGUCUUGAUAUACAGAAUUUUUGAGGUGACUUGUCUCCUCUUCAAA